GGACUGGACUGCACUCUGCGGAGCACAAAGG
This 31-nucleotide non-coding RNA is filed under the name Homo sapiens (human). The record is from RNAcentral. Lineage: Eukaryota; Metazoa; Chordata; Mammalia; Primates; Hominidae.